GAAUCUGAAUUGCAACUGCGACCUACUGCAAUGAGCAGGGCUGGGGAUCAAACAUGCACUGCCUCAGAGACAAGACCAGAAACUUAACCCACUUCACCGCAGCAGGAACUCUGAGAAAUACUGGUUUAAAUAGAAUUGUGUCACAUGCAUUUUCCUACUGCCCUCAUCGGCACUGACUGCAAAUUAGGAAAAACUGCAUAAUGAGUGAAAUCAGACUUAGAAUAAUUGUUCCCAGAAAUUGUUUUCUGUUAAAUCUGCUGUAUUGUCCAUGGGAGACCUUGUCCAGAGCUUGGGUCAGACUCACAGUUGGAGGCAUCUUCUCCAUGAGAGAGACAAAAACUGGCAAAAUAACUGAUGCGAGCCAAGAGAUUUUAGAAGCCAGCCGUCCUGAAAUGUUGUAAAGGUGAGCACUGAGGAUGUGUGACUAAUGUCCAGGAAAAUCACUUGUAUCAAGGGCAGUAAUCAUUUUAAUAGAAGGCUUCAAAAAGUUUCAAAAACAAAUGGUGUCAUGCUACCUUAAUUCAAGGCAGAUGAGUAUAUGCAGGCGUUUGCUGUUAUUAAAACUUACCAGGAGUUCCCAUUGUGGCUCAACAGGUUACAAACCCGACUAAUAUCCAUGAGGAUUCAGUCUUGAUCCCUCACCUGGCUCAGUGAGUUAAGGAUCUGGCAUUGCCACAGCUAUGAUGUAGGCUUGGAUCCAGCAUUGCUGUGGUUGUGGCGUAGGCCAGCAGCUGCAGCUCCAAUUCCAUCCCUAGCCUAAGAACUUCCAUAUGGGUGCAGCCCUAAAAAGACCCCCCCCUUAAAAAAAAAAAAGCAUAAAAAGAAGGCUGUGGUUCAUAUCAUUCUCCCGGAUUCCAGUUGGAGAGCAUAUUAGCUAUUGGUCUGUGGUUUCAUAAUGCAGGACACAUGGGUAAUUAGUAUCAUGCUUAGGGUCUUUGUUCAUUUUCGUUUAGUUUACUCUUCUAAAUUGUAAAUCAACCCAAAUCACAAAAUCAAUGAAUAGCAAUCAUCACCUGCCACCUGAUGUCAAGCAGCUGACAUUUUGGAACAUCUAAAUUGUUGCACAAAUUUUUUGUCUUCAGCCAGAUGUUUAGCAUCCAGUGGUCAUGCCUUUCCUCCUGACCCCCUCAGCCCCACCUGGGUUUAGACCUUUCCUGCAAAGAAUGGUCCUGCAGCUACUCUUGCAUUAAGUACAGCUUGUUUUAUUCAUUUUCUAGUUAUUCAAAAUACUUUAUUAGUAAGCGUUCUUAGUUGCAAGCAAUAGAAAUAGAUUCUGGCUAAAUUAAACAGAAAAGAAUUUAUGGGAAAGCUAAUAUGGACUCGUGAUCACAGUAGGAGGAGGGAGACUGGGCUUGAGGAAGGGCAGGGUCAAGGAAGUGCCAGCCCCACCCACUUCCCCACCCACAGUGUAGAUCACCAGACCAAGACUGUCUUGCCACUUAUCCACACUCCUGGGGCAAAGCCUUCUCAGGUUCGCUACAUGAGAGGUGGAUUUGGGAGCAACAAAUGGCCCUCCUACUAAGACAACUACCAGAGGAAGAAAGAUUUUUCCCCAUAAGGAAACUGGAGGAGUUCCCUGGUCGUCUAGAGGGUUAAGGAUCUGGCAUUGUCCACUGCUGUGACAUGGGUUCAAUCCAUGGCCCAGUAACUUCCAAAAACAGAAAACUAAAAUGUUACAAGGAAGUGGGGGUGAUGCUUCCCAUGUAUGUCUGCUACAAAUAAUAUGCAGGGUUGGUUUUUUUUAACUUUUUAAUUAAUUUUUUUUUUCUUUUUUAGCUGCACUCGCUGCAUAUGGAAGUUCCUGGGCCAGGAAUUGAAUCUCAGCCACAACUGCGGCAAUGCCAGAUUCUUAACUCACAGCACCAGGCCGGGGAUUGAACCUGUGCCGCUACAGAGACCAUGCCAGAUCCUUAACCUGCUGUGCCACAGUGAGAACUCCCUACUUUUUUUUUUUUUUUUUUUUUUUUUUUUNCACCCAAGGCAUAUGGAAACUCCCAGGCUAGGGAUCGAAUCAGAGCUACAGCUGCCAGCCUACAGCCACAGCAACACAGGAUCUGAGCCAUGUCUGCAACUUACACCACAGCUCAUGGGAACACCGGAUCCCUAACCCACUGAGCGAGGCCAGGAAUCGAACUGCAUCCUCAUGAUUACUAGUCGGUUUUGUUUCUGCUGCGCCACAACCAGAACUCCCCCUAAAUUAUUUUUAAAAUGCAUGUUCAUUAUGGAAAAUACACAGCAUUAUCUUUCUAUAUUUUUUCCUAAAAUUGGAAUUCUAUUGAAUGUACAAUUUAUAACCAACUUUUUUUCACCUAACCAUGCACUGGGAUCAUUUUCCAUGCCAUUAACCGCUCAUCUGCAACAUGCUUUUCAGAGUGGCGGUGGUCUUUCUCCUCUGUAUUUAUUUUAAAUCACUUGGGCAUUUUCUCUUUUGCUUUUUUUACCUUUGUAAAUGAUGCUGGACUGAACACAAUACUCUUUUUCGCUCUUUGGCUUUCAUAUAUUGAAGCCUCCCCAGAUAUGGGGACUCUGCUAAGUGCUUGUGUGCCUUUUCACAUUUACUCUUCCCGGCAUCCCUCCUGGUUAAUCCUAUUAUCAUCACCGUUUUACAGAUGAGGAACAUGCCGAGUGGAGGCUAUAAAUAACUUGCCUAAGGUCACACAGCCGCUGAGCGGAUGGUCCCCACAUAACCCUUGGGUCCCACAGAUGGCAGAUGCAGAAUCAGCCUGUCUGACUCCAGGCUCAGGCUUGAAGCUCCCCCAUUCCUUCUCUCGUAGAAAUCAUUCAUUGGAUAAUCUGCGAAUAUUUUCCUUAGGAUAAAAAAUCAGGAGGAGUUCCUGUUGUGGCUCAGCAGUUAACGAAUCUGACU
This 2866-nucleotide long non-coding RNA is filed under the name Sus scrofa (pig). RNAcentral describes it as "lncRNA (ENSSSCG00025037871.1)". The record is from RNAcentral. Lineage: Eukaryota; Metazoa; Chordata; Mammalia; Artiodactyla; Suidae.